Molecule: ribosomal RNA, 498 nt
Filed under: uncultured bacterium
Lineage: Bacteria
Description: partial 16S ribosomal RNA
Rfam family: Bacterial small subunit ribosomal RNA
Source: RNAcentral
AUUGAACGCUGGCGGCAUGCCUUACACAUGCAAGUCGAACGGUAACAGGUCUUCGGAUGCUGACGAGUGGCGAACGGGUGAGUAAUACAUCGGAACGUGUCUAGUAGUGGGGGAUAACUACUCGAAAGAGUGGCCAAUACCGCAUGAGAUCUACGGAUGAAAGCAGGGGAUCGCAAGACCUUGUGCUACUCGAGCGGCCGAUGGCAGAUUAGGUAGUUGGUGGGAUAAAAGCUUACCAAGCCGACGAUCUGUAGCUGGUCUGAGAGGACGAUCAGCCACACUGGGACUGAGACACGGCCCAGACUCCUACGGGAGGCAGCAGUGGGGAAUUUUGGACAAUGGGCGAAAGCCUGAUCCAGCAAUGCCGCGUGCAGGAUGAAGGCCUUCGGGUUGUAAACUGCUUUUGUACGGAACGAAAAGCCCCGGGUUAAUACCCUGGGGUCAUGACGGUACCGUAAGAAUAAGCACCGGCUAACUACGUGCCAGCCGCCGCAGUAA